AUGCAAUGAUAUGAACAUCUUCUUAGCAACUCUUUAUAUCUUUCCCAAGCUUCAUAUAGUGAUUCUCCUUCUUGCUGCACAAAGGAUGUGAUUUCCCCUCUCAGUUU
Small nucleolar RNA from Abrus precatorius (Indian licorice), 107 nucleotides. The record is from RefSeq and is a predicted model, not a curated record. NCBI's taxonomy places the organism in Eukaryota, Viridiplantae, Streptophyta, Magnoliopsida, Fabales, Fabaceae.